AAUGGAUUUGCUUAUUGCACCACAUGUGUUUUUCUUUGAAACAAACUUGCUUUGGCGGUGGGCCCAGCCUGCCGCCAGAGGUCUAAACUUACAACCAAUUUUUUAUCAACUUGUCACACCAGAUUAUUACUAAUAGUCAAAACUUUCAACAACGGAUCUCUUGGUUCUCGCAUCGAUGAAGAACGCAGCGAAAUGCGAUACGUAAUAUGAAUUGCAGAUAUUCGUGAAUCAUCGAAUCUUUGAACGCACAUUGCGCCCUCUGGUAUUCCGGAGGGCAUGCCUGUUUGAGCGUCGUUUCUCCCUCAAACCGCUGGGUUUGGUGUUGAGCAAUACGACUUGGGUUUGCUUGAAAGACGGUAGUGGUAAGGCGGGAUCGCUUUGACAAUGGCUUAGGUCUAACCAAAAACAUUGCUUGCGGCGGUAACGUCCACCACGUAUAUCUUCAAACUUUGACCUCAAAUCAGGUAGGACUACCCGCUGAACUUAAGCAUAUCAAAGGCGGGGAGGAAAG
This 511-nucleotide ribosomal RNA is filed under the name Candida albicans. RNAcentral describes it as "eukaryotic LSU rRNA". The stretch from base 141 to 294 matches the Rfam family "5.8S ribosomal RNA". The record is from RNAcentral. Lineage: Eukaryota; Fungi; Ascomycota; Pichiomycetes; Serinales; Debaryomycetaceae.